Molecule: long non-coding RNA, 254 nt
Filed under: Solanum tuberosum (potato)
Lineage: Eukaryota; Viridiplantae; Streptophyta; Magnoliopsida; Solanales; Solanaceae
Description: long non-coding RNA (STUB_LNC001768)
Source: RNAcentral
AGGUGCGGGAUUAUUAAGUUCAAAAGGAAACGAGAGAGUAGGACAACUUGUUUCAGUAACUUUCACCGGAAGGGAGGUUGACUAUUUCAUCAUAGAGGGAACUCCAGAAGACAAGUAGAAAUCGACAUGAUCUAUUUCAUUUGGAGUACCUAGUACCUUCCUAGGAGGAGAAAAUGAGUGAGACAUGAUGAGACAAAGAAAAUAGAGGAAGCCUUAAAGAAGAAAAGUUAGGGUUUUGGUAGAGAAAGGCAAAG